UACAGGAUUGUGGCUCAGAAGUACAGCAUCCGCUUUGCAUGCAGAAGGUCCCAAGUUCAAUCCCUGGUGCCUCCUGUCA
This is a non-coding RNA of Podarcis lilfordi (Lilford's wall lizard), 79 nucleotides long. The record is from the annotation of a GenBank genome assembly. Lineage: Eukaryota; Metazoa; Chordata; Lepidosauria; Squamata; Lacertidae.